This 66-nucleotide transfer RNA is filed under the name Esmaeilius persicus. RNAcentral describes it as "tRNA-Tyr". It matches the Rfam family "tRNA". From Rfam's summary of the family: Transfer RNA (tRNA) molecules are approximately 80 nucleotides in length. Their secondary structure includes four short double-helical elements and three loops (D, anti-codon, and T loops). Further hydrogen bonds mediate the characteristic L-shaped molecular structure. tRNAs have two regions of fundamental functional importance: the anti-codon, which is responsible for specific mRNA codon recognition, and the 3' end, to which the tRNAs corresponding amino acid is attached (by aminoacyl-tRNA synthetases). tRNAs cope with the degeneracy of the genetic code in two manners: having more than one tRNA (with a specific anti-codon) for a particular amino acid; and 'wobble' base-pairing, i.e. permitting non-standard base-pairing at the 3rd anti-codon position. RNAcentral also lists the same sequence under 1 other name. Lineage: Eukaryota; Metazoa; Chordata; Actinopteri; Cyprinodontiformes; Aphaniidae. The record is from RNAcentral.
UAAAAUGGCUGAGUGUCAAGUGGUGGAUUGUAGCUCCAUGUACAGAGGUUAAAUUCCUCUUUUUAC